Molecule: ribosomal RNA, 342 nt
Filed under: uncultured bacterium
Lineage: Bacteria
Description: bacterial SSU rRNA
Rfam family: Bacterial small subunit ribosomal RNA
Source: RNAcentral
CUAGCGACUUCAGAGUUUGAUCCUGGCUCAGGAUGAACGCUAGCUACAGGCUUAACACAUGCAAGUCGAGGGGCAGCGCAGUGUAGCAAUACAUGGGCGGCGACCGGCGCACGGGUGCGUAACGCGUAUCCAACCUUCCCGUUACUCAGGGAUAGCCUUCCGAAAGGGAGAUUAAUACCUGAUGGUGUUUGAAUUCCGCAUGUUAUUCAAACUAAAGAUUUAUCGGUAACGGAUGGGGAUGCGUGACAUUAGGUAGAUGGCGGGGUAACGGCCCACCAUGCCUACGAUGUCUAGGGGUUCUGAGAGGAAGGUCCCCCACACUGGAACUGAGACACGGUCCAG